CCUUGUCAGGGGCACUGGUCUAACUGUUGCCUUCCUCGCCCUUCCUACUGGGCCCCUUUACCCUGACCCGCCUGGUCUGCCAGGUCCAAGGCCUGUCCCUGGUAGGACAGAGAACGAGCACCUAACUGGGGCGGCCACCCUUAGGCAAGUCCCUCUUGUCAAUGCUCCUCACCUACAAAAAGCCUUGACCUCAUGUCUUCCCGUCUUACUACCUCACCUAUUUCUUUUUUUUAAGAUAUGUAGCCAGGGCUGGCUUCAAACCUGCUUCAGAGCUAAGACCUCAAACCCUGGGUCCUCCCUGUCUCUGUCUCCCAAGUGCUGAGAUUGUGGACAUGUGCUACCUUCCAGCCCGUGCCAGUGCUGGGAUUAAAGGCGUGUGUCACCAACGCCCGGCUGAGAAACCCUGCUUCUAUAAAAACAAGAUGGAAAACUCCAGUCAAUGGAGGCAGAGGCUGGAGAAUGGCUCCUGAGGUUGGCUUUACAGUUUACCUGACUGUACAUCUUGAUUUGACUGAGAAAACAAGACCAGAGAGCAGCGUAGCCUUUCUCAGAGACACACAGCCAAGCCAGCUGCUGAGCUGACAAAACCAGCCUGGGACAGAGGCUCUCUGGCUCUUGAUGCACACAAUGCAUUGUGGGUAUACACAUGGAUGUCCCCUUGUUGAGUGGCCUGAAGAAAAGCCCUUAGAGAAGGAGAGGCAGGAGUUCAUCCCAGGACUGCAAGGAGGACCUCCCAGGAGGCCAGAGGAUGAGCUUCCAGGGCUACACCCCAAUCAGACACAAGCUUGGAGCUUUUGUUUUUAUUUUAAAGGAAAACAAAAACAAAAAACAAACCCAGUGCAAAA
Long non-coding RNA from Mesocricetus auratus (golden hamster), 845 nucleotides. RefSeq lists it as uncharacterized. The record is from RefSeq and is a predicted model, not a curated record. Lineage: Eukaryota; Metazoa; Chordata; Mammalia; Rodentia; Cricetidae. The transcript is spliced from 3 exons.